GUGUCAGCCGCCGCGGUAAUACGUAGGAUCCAAGCGUUGUCCGGAUUUACUGGGUGUAAAGGGUGCGCAGGCGGACCUGUUAGUCAGGGGUGAAAUCUCACAGCUUAACUGUGAAACUGCCUUUGAUACUGCAGGUCUUGGAUCCAGAAGAGAGUUGUGGAAUUCCGAGUGUAGCAGUGAAAUGUGUAGAUAUUCGGAAGAACACCAGUGGCGAAGGCAGCAACUUGGUCUGGUAUCGACGCUCAGGCACGAAAGCAUGGGGAUCAAACAGGAUUAGAAACCCUCGUAGUCC
Molecule: ribosomal RNA, 292 nt
Filed under: uncultured bacterium
Lineage: Bacteria
Description: partial 16S ribosomal RNA
Rfam family: Bacterial small subunit ribosomal RNA
Source: RNAcentral